RNAcentral lists this ribosomal RNA (468 nucleotides) under uncultured bacterium. Its description in RNAcentral is "partial 16S ribosomal RNA". It matches the Rfam family "Bacterial small subunit ribosomal RNA", at positions 28 to 507 of the family's 1533-position model. The record is from RNAcentral.
GACGAACGCUGGCGGCGUGCUUAACACAUGCAAGUCGAACGAAAAGGCCCUGCGCUUGCGGGGUGCUCGAUUGGCGAACGGGUGAGUAACACGCGAGUAACCUGCCCUUGACUUUGGGAUAACUCCUGGAAACUGGGGCUAAUACCGGAUAGGAGCUCCCGCUGCAUGGGGGGGGAUGGAAAGAUUCGGCUGUUGGGGAUGGACUGGCGGCUCAUCCGCUUGUUGGUGGGGUAGUGGAUUACGAAGGCUUUGACGGGUAGCCGGCCUUGGAGGGGGGCCGGGCACAUUGCGCCUACGGUACGGCCCAGACGCCUACGUGCGGCAGCAGGGGGAAACCUUGCACAACGGGCGGAAGCCUGAUACGGCAGCGCCGCGUGCGGGAUGACGGCCUUCGAGUUGUGAACCACUUUGGCAUGUGACGAAGCGUGAGUGACGGUACUGGGUAAAAAAGCACCGGCUAACUACGUG